This 425-nucleotide ribosomal RNA is filed under the name uncultured bacterium. Its description in RNAcentral is "partial 16S ribosomal RNA". It matches the Rfam family "Bacterial small subunit ribosomal RNA", at positions 354 to 796 of the family's 1533-position model. The record is from RNAcentral.
GUGGGGAAUAUUGGACAAUGGGCGCAAGCCUGAUCCAGCCAUGCCGCGUGAGUGAUGAAGGCCUUAGGGUUGUAAAGCUCUUUCACCGAUGAAGAUAAUGACGGUAGUCGGAGAAGAAGCCCCGGCUAACUUCGUGCCAGCAGCCGCGGUAAUACGAAGGGGGCUAGCGUUGUUCGGAAUUACUGGGCGUAAAGCGCACGUAGGCGGAUAUUUAAGUCAGGGGUGAAAUCCCAGAGCUCAACUCUGGAACUGCCUUUGAUACUGGGUAUCUCGAGUAUGGAAGAGGUGAGUGGAAUUCCGAGUGUAGAGGUGAAAUUCGUAGAUAUUCGGAGGAACACCAGUGGCGAAGGCGGCUCACUGGUCCAUUACUGACGCUGAGGUGCGAAAGCGUGGGGAGCAAACAGGAUUAGAAACCCGAGUAGUCC